Molecule: ribosomal RNA, 470 nt
Filed under: uncultured Ignavibacteriaceae bacterium
Lineage: Bacteria; Pseudomonadati; Ignavibacteriota; Ignavibacteria; Ignavibacteriales; Ignavibacteriaceae
Description: bacterial SSU rRNA
Rfam family: Bacterial small subunit ribosomal RNA
Source: RNAcentral
UGCCUACGGGUGGCUGCAGUGAGGAAUAUUGGGCAAUGCCCGCAAGGGUGACCCAGCAACGCCGCGUGGAGGAUGAAUGCCGUAAGGUUGUAAACUCCUGUUAGAGGGGACGAAAUAUUCAGCUUCGUAAGAAUCUGAAUUUGACUGUACCCUCAGAGAAAGCCCCGGCUAACUACGUGCCAGCAGCCGCGGUAAUACGUAGGGGGCAAGCGUUGUCCGGAUUCACUGGGUGUAAAGGGCGCGCAGGCGGGUUAAUAAGUCAGAGGUGAAAUCCUACAGCUCAACCGUAGAACUGCCUUUGAUACUGUUAAUCUUGAGUUCGGAAGAGAGAGACGGAAUUCCAGGUGUAGUGGUGAAAUACGUAGAUAUCUGGAAGAACACCAGUAGCGAAGGCGGUCUCUUGGUCCGAUACUGACGCUCAGGCGCGAAAGCGUGGGUAGCAAACAGGAUUAGAUACCCCAGUAGUCUGA